Molecule: long non-coding RNA, 206 nt
Organism: Talpa occidentalis (Iberian mole)
Lineage: Eukaryota; Metazoa; Chordata; Mammalia; Eulipotyphla; Talpidae
Exons: 3
Source: RefSeq, a predicted model, not a curated record
CAACUGCAGGGGCACAGGUUGGCAGUGCCUAUCUCCACCCCAACUGGUUUACAAAACCACUUCAACACCAAACUCUUUACUUUUUCCACAUACCUCUCAGGGCACUGUCCUGAGACCUGGCAGUCAAUAAAAAUGACCCCAUUCAUGCACUUCCUAUGAAGAGAAAGAUAAGGAAGAGGAGGAGGCUGCUUGACAGGAUGAACAGG